GGGAAAGGAGGAAAAAGGAGGGAAGCAAGGGACAGAAACUAGACUUACUUUAAGCAGAACUAACACAAUUGCAACAAAUUUAGAUUUACAGAACAUUUUUAAAUUAACAGCAACAUGCUUUAGGGGCAGAAAGAGUCUCCUGUGCAAGAACACUGAAGCAGUGUCCAUCCUUGCAUUGGACAAGAAUGGACCACACCAAGAACAGGACUGCAGAUCAAUCUCUAUUGCAGUUGCAUAUUCUCUGCAAAAGUGACCAGUCAAUUCCAAGUGCAAUUCUGAGCACUGAUAACAGCAAACUCCAUUUCUGCUGCCAUGAUUCACACAUCUGGCUUCCGGAAUUACUGUUUAAGUAACUCCAGAGAUCAUAUUCAGUCCCUCUUUCAAAAUGUGUGUGGAAAUAAACAUUGACUGUGUACAUGUAAACCUACUAUUUAUUACUAGUGAACUGAUUUUAAAUCAAUAAGCAAAGGACUUUGGUGUUCCCCAUU
Molecule: long non-coding RNA, 488 nt
Organism: Columba livia (rock pigeon)
Lineage: Eukaryota; Metazoa; Chordata; Aves; Columbiformes; Columbidae
Exons: 3
Source: RefSeq, a predicted model, not a curated record